GGUUACGGUUUCUUUUUCAGUGAAGCCAGGAGAGAAAAGAGAUGGCGGGGUGCUCAAUAGAGGGAGGAGGAUAGACCGUGGCGGGAACCCGAGGAGCCCAAGCUGGACGCUGAGGAAGAGCCCACCCCGCUGGUUGGAGACCUCCGCAGAAGAAGGACGGUUCUGUUACUAGGCAACCAGGCCCGGGCCCGCCUCCCGCCCGUGUUGCCAGGAGACGACGAGGCCUGGGGGAGGGCGGCGGAGCGGGCCCUACGUGCUGACGCUAAUUGUAUAUGAGCGCGAGCGGCGGGCUCUCGGGUCUUUUUUAGCGCCAUCUGCUCUCGGCGCCGCCUCCUGCUCCUCCCGUCUCCGCUGCCUCCCUGAGUCACUGCCUGCGCAGCUCCGACCGCCUGGCUCCCCGUACUAGCUGCCGGUAAUGGAUGGGGGCCUGAAAGGGAACGUGGAGUUGGUCGGGCGGCCUUCACGGAGGGGAGGGACGGUGAAGCGAGAGCAGUGGCUGCUGGCUGCCCUGGGCCUCCGGGUCGUCCGGUGAGGCCGGAGUGGUCUGCGGAGUCUGGACACGGCAGCCUGAGAGGGGCCCAGGGCCGACCGGUGCUUUUUUCAGGGGCCGCUGAGGAGACGCGGGGGGUCGGCGCGCCCUACCGUGCUUAAGGUUUCUCGGGGCCCCACCGGCUUCUGCGCGCGGACUGGAGCGAGGCCGCGGCGACGCCCGGGUAUUUUAGAGGAGUCGGCUGCCGCGCGGCAAGGAGCGGGAGGCGCUGGGAAUGCGGGCCGGGCCAGUGUGGAGCCCGCCACCUCGAAGCCUCUGUCUUUUCCCCCCCAAAGUAAUAACCCGAGGGAGGCAGCUGGGGGAUGGAAAGAACCGGGAAGGCUGCGAAUUCCGACGGGAGGGAGGGAGGGGCCGCUGAGGGACCAGGCCCGAGGCAGGGGGGCGGGGAGGCUGCGGGGCUCUCCGCCCACUGGGGGCGGUGGCCGUGCGGGGGGGGGGGGGGGGCCCCCCCCCCCCCCCCCCCCCGGCUGCUUCCUUCGACACGUGGUGAGGGGGCUGCGUGGCCGCCUCCUGGCCAAGAUUGGAGACCCUUGCAUCGGGUGGGAGUGUGUGUGGGGGUGCUAUUCUUACUUUCAGUGAAAGUUGUAGAGUUGGUAGGGUAUGAAAAGGAAUGAUGAGCUCAUAAGUCCCUGUCCCCUGGGUUUCCAACUCUUAACUGCUUCUCUUUGGUCUUAAAUCUUUAUUGGUACCAGAGGAAAUUUCGAAUGUUAGCUGAUACACUGCCAGGAUUUUAAAGAAUUAAUGCGUGUAAAGCGCUUAUUUUAGCUGUUAUUAACAAAAGAUAGUAUUGUGUGUCCCAGAUACAGUUAGAACUUAAGAUGGGGAGGUGGGUGUCUGCACCCACCUUUGUUUUUGAGGAGUGGGGAAGGGGAAGGAUUGAUCCUCAUCUAUCUAAACCUUCAAACGUUUCUAAGAAGGUAAAGGGUUUGGCUUGUUAUAGUUUAGAUUCUCACAGGCUUUCCGACAUUAUUUCCUUUAAUGAGGUUCCCAGAAUAGGAUACUUCACUAGCUAUUUUUAAGGUGAAUGGGGUGGCGGGUUAAUAUAAACUGACCAACCCAAGUGAGUACCUGCUACCUUGUCUAUGUGCCCCAUUUCAGUAAAAAUCUCUUGGCAAUUAAAGGAGGCGGCCACUGAGGUCCUGUGGGGGAGGGCUAGUACAAAGGAUCACUCAAGCAGGCACAGGCUGUCCUCAAGGAGUCCCCGGUUUAAACUAUUACUGGUCUGAUGAGUUCCAGGAACACUAUACUUUGAAAAUCUCAGAAUUUAAACCGGUUGCAAAUUUUCAGGAGAGGUGUAAAAGAAAAUUUGCUAUUUUUGAAAAUACCAUCAAAACAUCUUUUGAAAGUAGUGUCUGUGUCCUCUUUUUUUUUUUUUUUUUUUGCAUGCUGGGGAUUGAACCCAGGGUUUUGUGCAUGCUAGGCAAGAGUUCCACCCCUGAGCUACACCCCCAGCCCAUGUCCUGUUUUCUUGUCAGCUUAGAUUAAUGCUCCUUAUCUUAGAAGUAAUAGUUCUACCUUUAGAUAAGAGAAAAAUCAUACACAUAUAUGUAAUUUAUUUAAAACUGGAGGAAAAUGAGGUUUUCAGUGGUCUUUAGGGAUUUUAGUGUCUCAAGCUUGUUUGAAGUUGCUAAAGUGGAAAUACAUGUUCUAAAUCUAAACCGUGCAGUUGUACUUUUAAGACUGGAGCUAACAUAAGCAGGUGUACUUAGAAGACUUAAUCUUUUGUGAUUUUAAAAUGUUCUUUUCAAGCCAGUUGUUGGUUAAAGUAAUGAAAUGAGAAACUUCACCAUACUUGGGUGCAAAUCUUUGUAAAUUUUAUCUAUUGUGAAAUAUCUGCUUUUUAUAUUACACCCAUUAAUUGAACGAAUUACUAAGUUAAUACUAAAUGAGGCACAUGACUGUCCUUACACAAGGUUUUUUUUUUUUUUUUGUUUUGGUACACUCCUAGCAGAAGUAAUGUGAUCUAAAUGCCAUAGCUUAUUUUAUUAUUCAAUUUGCCCAUAUUGGCCCCAGGUGAUUAAUUUGAUUAUAAAUUCUUAAAAUAUUUCAAAACAAGUGGUCUUUCUAUAGAAGGGGCUAAAAGAAGCAGAAUGCUUGAUUUAUAAAGGUCUGAGGAUGUCAAAACAAAAUUUUGUUACUUUAUUUAGUAUUUUGCUUGGUUGUAAAUUCUCAAUAUAAUUAAAAGAUUAAAGAAUGAGCCCCUCAUUUUCUCCAGUAUAGAAAUAAUAAUGAUCAAUCUAUUUGGAGUCUUAAGGUUUAAUCAAACCUGAAAUCAUUUGUAGUCUUGGCUAAUACUUUGAGUAAAUAUUUAAGUUCCAUUUAAACUCAUUUCAUCUGAAUAAGUAGUUUUUGUUGGGUAGAGUGGUGGUUAGAAGGUGGGAAUAGUUGCUUUACACCUCUCUUUGUUAAGUUUUUCAUUGCAUCAACAGCAUUAGAGCACAUUACUGGUGUCAUGGAAAGUGGCUUCUGUACCUUCCUUGAGUUACCAAUUCUGCCAUUUAUUGCUGCCUAUUUGAAUACUUCGCUUGCUGCGAAGUUUGUGCCUGUUGAUAGCCACCCUCUCCCCCAAUGUGGCCUGUGAUAAUCAUUUUUUAAAAUAAAGUAAGAAUACAAAAGUACAAUGGAAAAAUAAUAAAAGAGCAGUUACAGGGUGAUUAUUCAAGCCUUGUUUUAAAAUUCUUUUAACAAGGAAACAGUAUGUUAUGGUUAAAGAAACUAUCCAGGGUUACAUAACUGAGCAAUGAGGACUUAAAAUGAGGUGAUUUUUGUAGUGGUUUUUGAAGGAUGUCCCUUAAACUGUUUUGCUAUAUUUUGGAUUCUACAGUGCUCUAGGGAAAAGCUACAACAUUGUAUAGUUAUGAGGUGUUCUUCCAUGUAGUUGGGCCAUAUGUACGCCACUUAUGUAUGCUGCACGUACAUGUAACUUUGGAAGUACCAUGAGGAUAAAUUUUGUAAGUAGGAUGAGUUUUGACCAAGUGUCCUGGGUCCUAGGAUAAGUUUCCCUGUUAUUGGAUUAGAUGAUACUCUAUAGAUAUUUUUGGACAGAAAAUAACAGUGUUCUCAAAUAGGAAUUCAUUUUGCUUGGGAGUCUAAUACAAAGUUCUCAGUUGACUAUUGAUAGCACUGAAAUGAAAAAACUGAGUGUAAAAAAAAUAAGCUGUUUAAGCUGAGGGGUUGUGUUGUAGCCAAAUGCAGUGCUAUCUAAAAAUUUUUGCUUAAAGUUCAUUUGGAAUGAGGUCUGAGGUAAAGGGAAAACUAUAUCCUGGGGUAUUAUUGUUUCCUUCUUUGGCUUUAAACCAUUUUUGUUUUUUAGUGAUUGGCUGUUUCAUCAUGAAGUAGUCAUUUUUUGUAAACGAAUAAUGCUUUAGUUUAGUGAAUAAUCUAUGUAACAGGCUGAUUGGAAAGUACCCUGGUUUUUAGAAUAGUGGAAUGGGCUUUUGUUUUUAAAGUCAGGUUUUAAAACCUAACUACUUCAGGAUUGUGUUGCUAAGCAAGGCGCUUAAUAUUUUAUUUCCAAAGUAGGAGGAAAGCCUAUAAUUCCUUACAGAGUGGCCAAAUGUUUUGAUAAAUGUUGGCUUUCUUCGUAUUCAUUGAUAGUAUGGGCAAUUUACUCAGAAUAAGGAUUACCAGAAUGAUAAGAAGUUGAUAGUAGGUGUCUGGACAUCUGGUUAUUAAAAGACCACAAAAUGAUCAGGUUUUGUGGCCUGAUUUAGUCAAUGGCCUGUUUUCUAAUGAAAGAUUUUCUUCAUAUUAGAAUUUUCAAGAUUAAGAUUUACUUUCAGGAAUACUGUUUGGAAUCACCAUGCCUUUCCAUUAAGAUCUUCUGUACAUUAUAUAUUGGAUUAUAAAUUGAACCAUUUUGGAAAAAGUGGCCUUUUUAUAUUUAGUAAUACUCUUGAAGUUUGUUUUUUUCUGAUGUUAAUAUAUUAGGUUCAUACUGGGUUUUGAAACUAGAUGAUGAAUUUCUUAUCCAUAGAAUGACACUGAAUUUUCUUGAAGGCAGUCUUGGGAAAUUUUUUUUCUUUUGUGUACUAGGGAUUGAACCCAGUGGUGCUCUACUACCAAGCUACAUCCCCAGCCUCCUUUUUAAAAAAAAAUUGUGAGAGGGUCUUGCUAAGUCACCAAGAAUGGAGUCGAUCUGGGUGAUUCUCCUACCUCAGUGUCCUAAGUCACUGGGAUCAAGGUGUGACCCCAUGCAUGGCCUGACUUAGAAUCUUUGAUAGGAACAUUUACUUUUACAUUUAAUGUAAUUCCUCUGAAGUUUACAGGAGUAUUUUACUUUUAUUUAUUUUUUGGUACUGAAAAUUGAACCCAGGGACAUUUUACCACUAACCUCUACCCCAGCCCUUUUUAUUUUUUUUAUUUUGAGACAGGGUCUUCCUACCUUGAUGAGGCUGGCCUAGAAUUUGGAAUCCUCCUGCCUCAGCCUGUGGAGUUGCUGGGAUUACUGAUGUGCAGUACUGUGCCCAACUUUUCAGGUUUAUUUUAAAAGUGUGUGUUUUCAUUACUUUAUUUUGGAAGUUAUAUAUGCUGUUUUCUAAUCUUUUGGUAGUCAUUCUGGAAAUUACUAUUUGCAUACUUAACAAACAUUGGCGUGCUUAUUCACAUCACUGACUUCAAAUAGUGUGAUAUUUUUAAUGUUUUAACACUCACAAUGGUAAUUUUAUUUCUUUCAAAAUCCUUAUUUAGCUGGACGUGGUGGUGUGUGCCUAUAGUCAUAGUGCUAGGGAGGCUGAGGCAGGAGGAUUGCUUGAGCCCAAGAGUUUUGAGCCUGGGAACCUAAUGGGUCCUCAUCUCUAAAACAGACACAAUCUUCAUGUAGAUAUACACAGAUAAUCUUUUUUCCUUAAUGUAUUUUCAAGUUUCCAUCUGGAAUCACUUGCCUUCUAUAUGAAGAUUAUACUACAGAAUAUUUCAGUGAUAGUGCUUGGAGGGAGGUAUUGUUAAGUGAAAUAUUUGCUUUGUUUUCAUUCUUAUAGAUUACAUUGUUUGCAUAUAGUAUUCUAAGAUCAUCAGUUAUUUUCAGAAAGUUAUGAAUUCUAUUAUCUUUUGGUAUCUGAUUUUGAAGAGAAGCCAGCUGUCAGCUAUGCCUUUGAAAUUAAUCUUUUGUGUACUUUCUUAGGUGACUUCUUUGUCUUUGGGAUCUUGCUUUUUUACUUAUUUAUCUAAGUAUGGUUUUCUUUUUUAUUUGUCUUGAGUAGAAUUGAUAAAACUCCCUGAAUCUGUGAGUUGGUGUCUGUUUCAUCAGUUCUGGAAAGUGCUUAGCUAUUAAUUUGUUCAUGUAUUGUUUCCUAUCCUAUCUUUUCCUCCUAGAACUUGAAGUUUUUUUUUUUUUUCUUCCCUAUGAGAGAUUGAACUCAAGGUACUUAAUUAACCACUGAGCCACAUCCUCAGCCCUUUUUAUUAUUUGGGACAGGAUCUCACCAAGUUGCUUAGGGCCUUGCUAAGUUGCUGAUAAACUUGGUGAUCUUCCUGCCUCGGCCUUUCAAGCCUCUGUUAUUACAGGCAUGAAAUCUUUUUUAGAUUUUGUUGUAUCCUAAAAUGUCUUCUCAUUUCAGUACUUCCAUUCUUUAAUCUCUUGCUCUGUUUUAGAAUAGUUCUUCUUUGCUUUCUUUAGCUCGCUUAAUUCUCAAUUUUGUUUAAUCUACUAAAGGCGACCCUUUUAAUUUGAUAUAUUAAGUUCUUUUCCAAAUCUGCUGUUAACUUAAUACAUGUCUAUUUCUUGCAGAUACUGUUUUUUCUUCCUUUCCAAUGAACCCAUAGUCUUGCACAUGCCAGGCAAGCACUUGAUUCCGGAACUAUACCUACAGUUCCCGAUACUAUAUUUUUAGACUUAGUAAGACUGGUUGUUUUUUGGCCUUUGUCUACAGUUUGUUUAUAGUCUAAUUGACAAUAAUACUUAAGUCUUUGUAGGGCUGGUUUCUGUUGUAUUCCUUUAGGUUGUUCUGGUUGCCUUUGGAAAUUACUUGUAUGAAUAAUUAGAGAUCUAGAAUGCAGGUGCUUUUCACUUACAUUUGAUAAGCAAGUGCCUGUGAGUAUACUGCCAGGAUAUUUGACGCUAUCUUGGAGUUUGGAGCAGCAACACAGAUGAAAUGAAUUUGGGCCAUUUGUUUAAGAGAGCUGGCUUAUAAUCUCUGAAGACAUAGCACUUUGGGGUUCCUGCUUAUUUUCAGAAAGUUAUUAUGAAGAUUCCUCAUAGGAUAGGCUCAAAAUUUUGAUUUCAAAUUAAAAUCAGAGUUCACAUUUGCUGAUAAUGGCAGUUGACCUCAGGGCAAAAGUAUUUUCCUAUUUUGCCUUCAUUUUUUGACCAGUAGUAAUUCUGUAUUAUAUUAUUAAUGUUUCAGUGCUAUUUAGAUUUUAAUAAAUUUGUUCUUUGCUUUUAAUUAUUUUUUAUUGGCAGUAUUAAUCUGCAUAAAAUAGCUUGUCAUUAUCAGGAAUGAAAAGUUUUUCACAGAUUUUGGAGUGCAGUUUUAUGUCCAACAUUGUUUGAUAUAAUGUCAACCAGAUUAAAAAAAGCAACGUAGGUAUUAAUAUAAACCUGUAUUUUUCAGUGUAAUCUGAUUAUCUGAGAGCCACCUGCCUCAGAAGCUGCAAGGGGUAGGGGUUAAAAAUGAAGAUUUUGGCGGGGGGGGGGGCAUUCCAUUGGACCUAAUGGUUUUUUUCUUCUUUUAACUUUUAAUUUUAGGUUUACAAGAAAUUUGUAAACAUAGGUCAGAGAGUUUCUGUAUGCCCCUUUCCCAUUUUUUCCUAAUAUUAGUAUCUUAAAGUUACCAUGGUAUAUUUGUCAAGACUAAAAUAAUCUAUUUUUUAACUAUCAUCCCAGCUUAUUAUUUUGGAGAACUAUUCAGUGGUAUAAUUAAAAAUGGAUUGGAUGAAAAUAGCAUGUGUUCUUUAGAGUACUUACCAGGUAUCAAACUCUGGUUAAAGUUUUAACAUGGAUUUGUUCCUUGAAUUUUUUUUUUUUUUUAAUAGGAUGAAAACAUUUUUUAAAUGCUGAUAAAAAUAUAAAGCUGUACAUAUGAGUGGAGUAUACUCCUUGAAAUAAAUUCAAUCCAAUGAGGGAAUUUUUUCUUAACUUUUUAUGUAUGAUGAAAUGAAGCCAGAAGUUGUUUCCCUGUUGAUUGCUUCAAAGGUAGUGUAAACCUUAAUGAUUUAACUGAAAUUAGGCCCAGUUUUAUGAAUGUACACAAGCAAAAAAUCUAAUUUUCCUGAAUGGGCAGUUUGGAUCUUCAUUAAAAAGUUUUAUUUCAAAAGUUCAGAAUCUAGAGAUAGUGCUGAAAACUGGACAUUGAUGGUAGUUCUGUGAACAUGUUAAAAUGGCCUAAAAAUUUAAAUCGGAAAUUCUGAGUUUUUUCCCCAUAUAUCUUUCCAUAUUCCAAUUGCUAGGUUUAUUAGACAAUAUGUUAAUGUUUACAACCCAGGAAAUUGAAAAAUAUUACUGAUUUAGGUAAACUUCUUUAUACUGGAAAACCAAGUAAUGCAAAUUUAUAGUCAAAUUAUACUUUAUUGUCAUAUAUAACUAAAAAGAAAAAAAUUUUUAAAAAUUCUCAUUUCUCAUGUUUUAUAGUAACUACUUUCAGGUUUCUGAUAUAGAAAAAGGUUUUAUUUAAGGGGCUGGUGGUGUGGUUCAAUCAUAGUUAUGUGUUUAGCAUGUGUUCUGGAUUCAGUUCCUCAGCACCAAUAAAAUGUAUGUAAAGGUUUUGUUUAUAUUAUAAAAGUAUGUACGUGUAUGAGCAUACUUAUAUUUUAUUCAUGUCCUAAUGGGAUUUUGCCAUAUAUUUUAUACCUUACAUUUCUAUAUCAGCUCUUGAGAAUUGCUUCCAUUUUCACUAUAAAGCAUUUCCUUAUAUGUGCAUUCCAUGCUAAUAAAUUUAUAACAUAUAAGUUGUGUAUAUUACUCUGAAGAAUAGUGAUUGGUAAAAGCAUAUAAAUUUCUGUAAUGAGUCUCAUCUGAAAAGUUGGGAGAGACCUUAGCUUACACUAAUGUGUAAUUAUAUACUUGAGACAUCUUGGGAUGGAAAGAAAUAGAACUAUAUAGGAGUUUGUACAACAAAGAAUUAUUUAACCAGUUGUUCAAGAUGUAUAGGAUUUGUUCACUGGGGCUUUGGAGGGAUCUUGAAGGUGAAUAUGAAAAACAAGGCCUUACAUGCUCAGUAGUACCUUUUUUUUAAAGAGAGAGAGAAUUUUAAUAUUUUUUUUAGUUUUCGGUGGACACAGCAUCUUUCUUUGUAUGUGGUGCUGAGGAUCGAACCCGGGCCGCACGCAUGCCAGGCGAGCGUGCUACCACUUGAGCCACAUCCCCAGCCCGCUCAGUAGUUCUUUAUGGAACAUUCUUAUAAGUAAAUAAGGCUGGAGAUGGAUAUAUUUAAACUUUGCCUUUGAAAUUCCUUUAACCAGGAAUAACUGUCCAGAAAAGUACUAGUUUAUGAGAACAUAACUCAGAUUUAAGAAAGAAUAUUUAUUAAAUUUUUCCCUGUGUUGAAAGAAAAUUCUCAAUGAUUUGAUAGACACUUAGAAUCCCAAAUACAUUUCUUUGAAGAUUCAAUAUUUUUCUUAAUUUUUGAAUUCGAUUUCAUCAGUAGUUUGCUAAACAUUUUGUAGAUAUAUGCUAAUUGCCCAGUAUCACUGGAGAAAUUUGUCAGUACUACUAGGAAAUAUUUAAGGAAACAUUUUUAAACAAAAGGAAGGUAUAUUAAAGAUAUAUUAGAAAGAAAUAUUUUCUUUAUAAUUAAAGGAUAGAUACUAGAUCAGUAAUACUCCUCAAAUAUUACCACUUGACUUAAAAUCAGAACCUUAAAUACUCUUAAGUAAUAUUUAAGCAUGCUGUUAUGAGAGUAGUUCAUCUUAUAAGAUUUUGUGGAAUUAAUCCUAAGGCUGAAAGAUGAAAACUUGAUUUCUAAUGCGGAAUUCUGUCUAAACUUGGUUUAGGUUUUUUUUAGUGAUCUGGAUGACUUAACAUUCAGCCAUUUUUCACUUAAGUAUUUAACACAUUUACCUUAAGGUUUUCUUCCCUUUCUCAGAAGUAUUCUCUAAGCCUUAGGAAUUUAAGUCAUUUAAUCAAUCUUUCCAGUAAACUUACUUAGAUUUGGUAAUCAGAGUGUUAAUUAACAGUGUAUCAGCAUUACCAGGGGAGGUUGUUGCAGGGGAUGGUGGGAAUGGUUGUACAUCAGUCAUGUGAGAUGAGAUACAGAAGGUUUGUCUGACAUAAUAGGUUGGGACCUAGAUUUUUACAAUUAAUGUGUAAUCGUUUUAAAGGGCUGAUGUGUGAUGCAGAGAUUACUAAACCUUUAUUUUUUUAAUACCUCCAGGAGCAUAAGUACAAUAGGUAGCAAAUAUUUUUUUAACUUGAAUUUGAUAAAAAAAUAAUACUGUUAAAAGUGAAGUGGAUUUGUUCAAAGAUGCUGAAUAGCCUAAAAGUUCAGCAAAAAUUUAACAUAUAUGAUUAAAAGAAUUUGAACAAAAGACUUUGGUAACACUAUUCCUUUUACAGCAAAUAGGAAUUCUUUACUGAUGAUGUUAAUAUAAUAAUUUUUAUAUCAGAUUCUAAAAGCCUACUCUAACAUGUUUGUUUUAAGCAAUAUUCUCCUGAAAAAAUAUUUUAACACUGAUGUUUCUCUCCAUAGGUAUUUGAAGUUCCUACAACAUGGCAGACAUUGACAAGUAAGUGGCAA
Molecule: long non-coding RNA, 10221 nt
Filed under: Marmota monax (woodchuck)
Lineage: Eukaryota; Metazoa; Chordata; Mammalia; Rodentia; Sciuridae
Source: RNAcentral